GCUGUGUUCCCCCGCAGCUGCCAGGGCCUGCCGGUGGCCUGGGGCAGCCCCACUGCAAGGAGCACUGCCGAUCUGGAAAACCACACAGGACCUGGGGGAGCUGAUUCGCACUUGGAUGGGAGGCCACCAGGAAAUCCAUAGGCUAAGCAAGGUGAAACAUCCGCCUGGGAAAGGGCCUGCCUUCUUCCCUUCUUGAAAGGGGGCACCUUCGCCCUCUCGCCUGUUCUCCAAAGAGAUCUCGGAGAUGACAGCAGAAACGAGGCUCGCACUUUGAACUGAACCUUAGAGAUUCAGGGCCGUCCGCAGAGGGCAUCAUGGAAACGCCAUGUCACUGCUUAAGCCAGACGCAGGAGCCAGGGCAGGUCAGGCACCACUAAAAAUGCCAAACGUGCAAGUCCGCAGAUUGCGCCUGGUGCCCCUGGCCGGAAGAGGAAGGGCCAGUCUGAACAGAGCAUUCUGGGAGGGUGUCUAAGUGCUCCUCAAAGCCACCACCCCCGCCACGUCCUCCGGCUGGGUGGCCCCCACACCAGCUCCAGGAACUGUAGUCGGCCCGGCAGGAGGACAGCAGCGACGCAUCCCGGCCGGUUAAGCAGCGGAGCCGAGUGGAGAAGCCCCCAUCUCCGUGCGCAUGAACCAAGAAGCGGUGCUCCAUUUGGCUGACACUCACCUUUGCACACCCAAACUCCUAACCAAGAUUGGGAACUCUGCUUUGUUUGGGUUCCUGGUGGCGCCAAGCGUUCCUCUAUCCUUGCCUUCAAGCGCACGCAAAUCAGUGCAUGCCACGCACUGCCUUCCCCAGCCAACACUGCAAAGCUGGGACUGCAGGGGCCUCAUGGGAGAAGUGUGUGUGCGUGCCCUGGGCUGCUGCUUUCCUAAGGGGCAGCUUUUGAGUGGGGAGAAGCAGCUCCGAACCUGAAACAAGGCUCACCACCUCUGGGCCACCAAAAAACAAGCAGAAGUUUCCAUGUGGCUUUCUUUGGAAAAGUGGGUUUUCUGACUGCUUUUUCUGGUUCUUUUUUGCAGGCCACCCAGAGGCCUCUGGACUGGAUAUGUA
Long non-coding RNA from Python bivittatus (Burmese python), 1054 nucleotides. RefSeq lists it as uncharacterized. NCBI's taxonomy places the organism in Eukaryota, Metazoa, Chordata, Lepidosauria, Squamata, Pythonidae. The record is from RefSeq and is a predicted model, not a curated record.